RNAcentral lists this ribosomal RNA (253 nucleotides) under uncultured bacterium. RNAcentral's name for it is "partial 16S ribosomal RNA". It matches the Rfam family "Bacterial small subunit ribosomal RNA", at positions 524 to 776 of the family's 1533-position model. The record is from RNAcentral.
UACGUAGGGUGCGAGCGUUGUCCGGAAUUAUUGGGCGUAAAGAGCUCGUAGGCGGUUUGUUGCGUCGGCCGUGAAAACCUGCAGCUUAACUGUGGGCCUGCGGCCGAUACGGGCAGACUAGAGGUAUGCAGGGGAGAACGGAAUUCCUGGUGUAGCGGUGAAAUGCGCAGAUAUCAGGAGGAACACCGGUGGCGAAGGCGGUUCUCUGGGAAUGACCUGACGCUGAGGAGCGAAAGUGUGGGGAGCGAACAGG